Non-coding RNA from Paramuricea clavata, 1167 nucleotides. The record is from the annotation of a GenBank genome assembly. NCBI's taxonomy places the organism in Eukaryota, Metazoa, Cnidaria, Anthozoa, Malacalcyonacea, Plexauridae.
CUGGAUCAGUACUUUUCACCACUGGUAACUCGAGAAUGUUCUGGACAUAGGCAUUGACAAUUUCGCUCGGUUUGCCGUACUCUCCUUUUAAGAUAUUUUUUGCCCUUUCAUACCCCUCUACCGUUAGAGGCAACCCAUCGAUAUCAGCUCUCACCUUCGGCUUAACAAACUCUUUCAAAUAGGUAAACUUCGUAACAGGCGACAAAUCGGCACCGUCAAUUUCAGCAACAAAUUUGUUCCAAAAGGGUGGCCAAUUCGCACAUUUCCCAUCGAACUGCGUAAUAGAUAGCUUCGGUAAUUUUGUCGACGCCGCUUUCUUUACUUGGUUUUGCUGUCCCGUUGCUAACACCUUCUGAAACUUUAGCUGUUGUUCAUAAAGUUCACGUUCGUGACUCAUUUUUUGUUCGUGCUUUCCGUCCUCGAUUGCCCUCUCUUGUUUAACUGAUUCGGCCAAUUCAACGGCCUGGUUUUCCUUCGCUAUAUUUUCUUUUAUUCGUUUUAAUUCUAACAAUUUCUCGUCGGCCGUUUUCAAAGUUCCUUCAAUGUCGACAAGCCAUUCUUGCACUUGUUCUUCAGUUUGUUUCUGACCGAAUUUCAAUUCUAUAAUGUCAUCUUUUAAGGCGUGACUCGCUUCGAUUUUACCUUUGAUUGACGCUUCGUGUCUAGUUAUCACAUCGAGGUUUCUCGUUUCGAUUUCUUGUUCGCUUUUACCCAACGUAAAUUUUAAUGUUCGUAGUUUCCCAUCAAGCUCUUGUAGUUUUGUCUCCAUGCUUUUCUUUCACUUCGUUUGUUUAGUUAUAUAUAAUAAAUCACUCGAUAAAUAGCGGCCGUAUAUCACUGUAGUUUGUACGCUGUCGUUUAGUUUCGAUUUGUCACUCGAUAAAUAUGCUAGGUUCUUGCUCUUGUUCGAGCUUAAAAUCUCACAAAUCCCAUCACGGAGGUGCCAGUUGUUGAGAAUUGCCUCCCGUUGAUUCCCAACAUAAAUUAAAAUUACAAACACUGGGUAUUUCUAUAGUUUUAUUGACAAAAAUCUCAUGCUUCGCUGUGUUCUUUCCCGAAUCCCUCGCCAUGUCAACAUUCUCAACGGUAUAUUCCGGAGCUGUCCGACUGUCCGCGAGUAUACUCGCAUGUCCCACGCGAUAAUAAAAAAGCUAAAUAUAGUUUCCG